GAUGAACGCUGGCGGCGUGCUUAACACAUGCAAGUCGAACGGAAAGGCCUCAGCUUGCUGGGGUGCUCGAGUGGCGAACGGGUGAGUAACACGUAGGUGAUCUGCCUUUCACUUCGGGGUAAGCUUGGGAAACUGGGUCUAAUACCGGAUAUUCACGGCACCGUGGUUGGUGUGGUGGAAAGCUUUUGCGGUGGGAGAUGAGCUUGCGGCCUAUCAGCUUGUUGGUGGGGUAAUGGCCUACCAAGGCGGCGACGGGUAGCCGGCCUGAGAGGGUGUGCGGCCACAUUGGGACUGAGAUACGGCCCAGACUCCUACGGGAGGCAGCAGUGGGGAAUUUUGCACAAUGGGCGGAAGCCUGAUGCAGCGACGCCGUGUGGGGGAUGAAGGCCUUCGGGUUGUAAACUCCUUUCGUCAGGGACGAAGUUUGUUUGACGGUACCUGGAUAAGAAGCACCGGCUAACUACGUG
Molecule: ribosomal RNA, 467 nt
Filed under: uncultured bacterium
Lineage: Bacteria
Description: partial 16S ribosomal RNA
Rfam family: Bacterial small subunit ribosomal RNA
Source: RNAcentral